This 861-nucleotide unclassified non-coding RNA is filed under the name Ensifer fredii. Its description in RNAcentral is "Sinorhizobium fredii partial 16S-23S ribosomal RNA intergenic spacer". The stretch from base 747 to 861 matches the Rfam family "Bacterial large subunit ribosomal RNA", at positions 1 to 114 of the family's 2925-position model. The record is from RNAcentral. Lineage: Bacteria; Pseudomonadati; Pseudomonadota; Alphaproteobacteria; Hyphomicrobiales; Rhizobiaceae.
GUCGGCAGUUCGAGUCUGCCCGGGCCCACCAUUCGCUGGGGCUCAUGGUGGGCCCGGGCAUUCUCUUGGUUUGUUUGCUCUUCCUCGCGAUCUUCGAUCGCUGCGGGGGGAGCGGGCCGGGCCCCGAGGUGCGAUCGAACGUCGUUAGUUCAGUCGCCGGCUUUUGCUGGCGACUGAAACCUGAUGGGGCUGUAGCUCAGCUGGGAGAGCACCUGCUUUGCAAGCAGGGGGUCAGCGGUUCGAUCCCGCUCAGCUCCACCAAGGUUUUGGUGUUGAUUGCUGGCGGACCUGUUUCUUGUCUUUGGAGAAAAAUGGUUUGCAUCGUCUCCGAUUGGGAGGCCGGUGCCUGUUCUGCUUACAUUGUGAAGAGAAGAUGUGUCUGGACGCUGAUCCUUUGGAUUGGCGUGUCCAUAAGCACGAUCGUUGUUGGGGUAUUCUUCGGAAUGCCUCUCUGGCGGUCUGCUGGAUUGAUGUUGCCUGACCGCGCAUCACCGGAUUCAUCUCGAGAAGCUGGUCUUAAGAUUUGGCGCAAGCGAACCGCUCGGCGUGGUUCCAAUAAAGCGACCAAAUCGAACACGUCGAUGGCAUCUGAUUGGCUCGGUUGUAAAAGGUAACCGGGCUUUUUGGCUGGCGGUGCGGCAUACUCUAGUGUGUCCGUAUGGUCAGAUUUGGCACCCCACGAGGGCGAAAGCCGAGUGGAUAAGGUCUGCCAAAUCCAAAUAAGGAUGAGCAUUGGCAAUGAGAACGAUCAAGUGUCAAAAGGGCAUUUGGUGGAUGCCUUGGCAUGCACAGGCGAUGAAGGACGUGAUACGCUGCGAUAAGCCGUGGGGAGCUGCGAAUGAGCUUUGAUCCAUGGAUCUC